RNAcentral lists this ribosomal RNA (497 nucleotides) under uncultured bacterium. Its description in RNAcentral is "partial 16S ribosomal RNA". It matches the Rfam family "Bacterial small subunit ribosomal RNA", at positions 28 to 507 of the family's 1533-position model. The record is from RNAcentral.
GAUGAACGCUGGCGGCGUGCCUAAUACAUGCAAGUCGAGCGAACAGACGAGGAGCUUGCUCCUUUGACGUUAGCGGCGGACGGGUGAGUAACACGUGGGUAGCCUACCUAUAAGACUGGGAUAACUUCGGGAAACCGGAGCUAAUACCGGAUAAUAUUUCGAACCGCAUGGUUCGAUAGUGAAAGAUGGCUUUGCUAUCACUUAUAGAUGGACCUGCGCCGUAUUAGCUAGUUGGUAAGGUAACGGCUUACCAAGGCAACGAUACGUAGCCGACCUGAGAGGGUGAUCGGCCACACUGGAACUGAGACACGGUCCAGACUCCUACGGGAGGCAGCAGUAGGGAAUCUUCCGCAAUGGGCGAAAGCCUGACGGAGCAACGCCGCGUGAGUGAUGAAGGUCUUCGGAUCGUAAAACUCUGUUAUUAGGGAAGAACAAACGUGUAAGUAACUGUGCACGUCUUGACGGUACCUAAUCAGAAAGCCACGGCUAACUACGUG